GGAUUUGCCAAUGGGCGAAAGCCUGAUGCCCACAUGCCGCAUGAGAAGAUGAAGGCCUUCGGGUCGUAAAGCUCUGUCCUCAAGGAAGAUAAUGACGGUACUUGAGGAGGAAGCCCCGGCUAACUACGUGCCAGCAGCCGCGGUAAUAAA
This 150-nucleotide ribosomal RNA is filed under the name uncultured bacterium. RNAcentral's name for it is "partial 16S ribosomal RNA". It matches the Rfam family "Bacterial small subunit ribosomal RNA", at positions 358 to 527 of the family's 1533-position model. The record is from RNAcentral.